UAUUCCCUCUUCCUUUUCCAGAAAGCUCUAUAUAUAUAGACACAUCUGCAACUUGUGUCUCUUCCAACAAGCUCAUCAAGUUCUGCAAUUCAUUGGUUUCUUCUUGCAGCCAUGAGUGAUAUGAAAUAUGGCUACCCUUAUCCUCCUCAAGGUCCUUAUCAGGGGCCACCGCCAGUGGCGGCACCACCGCAAUAUUACGCUGCACAACCACCGCCAAGAAAUCAUCCAGAGCGUGGGUUCCUUGAGGGUUGCCUAGCAGCUUUGUGUUGCUGUUGCCUCUUGGACGAGUGCUGCUGCGACCCAACAAUUAUUUGCGAUUGUUGAUGCUAUGUAUUAUGCUGUGCCUAUAAGAAACAUCCGUACACAAUUACACUGACCUUUUAUUGUUGUUAUCAUAUAUAUUCAUAGGCUCUUUUAGUGGAUCCCAAAAUUUUACAUAUUCAUGUGUGCUAUAUAGCUCAACAACUGGUUUAUGUUAUUGUUAGCUGUAAGCUUUAUUACUUAUGUAUCUUUCAAUAUUAAUUAGAAUGUUGACCUGUGCA
Prosopis cineraria is the source of this 542-nucleotide long non-coding RNA. RefSeq lists it as uncharacterized. NCBI's taxonomy places the organism in Eukaryota, Viridiplantae, Streptophyta, Magnoliopsida, Fabales, Fabaceae. The transcript has 3 exons. The record is from RefSeq and is a predicted model, not a curated record.